Molecule: ribosomal RNA, 429 nt
Filed under: Chloroflexota bacterium
Lineage: Bacteria; Bacillati; Chloroflexota
Description: Chloroflexi bacterium partial 16S ribosomal RNA
Rfam family: Bacterial small subunit ribosomal RNA
Source: RNAcentral
UGGGGAAUAUUGCACAAUGGGCUCAAGCCUGAUGCAGCCAUGCCGCUUGUAUGAAUAAGUCCUUCGGGUUGUAAAGUACUUUCAGUCUGGAGGAAGGUGGUAAGGUUAAUAACCUUAUCAAUUGACGUUACCGACAGAAGAAGCACCGGCUAACUCCGUGCCAGCAGCCGCGGUAAUACGGAGGGUGCAAGCGUUAAUCGGAAUUACUGGGCGUAAAGCGCACGCAGGCGGUUGAUUGAGUCAGAUGUGAAAUCCCCGGGCUUAACCCGGGAAUUGCAUCUGAUACUGGUAAGCUAGAGUCUUGUAGAGGGGGGUAGAAUUCCAUGUGUAGCGGUGAAAUGCGUAGAGAUGUGGAGGAAUAACGGUGGCGAAGGCGGCCCCCUGGACAAAGACUGACGCUCAGGUGCGAAAGCGUGGGGAGCAAACAGG